UAGGGAAUUUUCGUUCAAUGGGCGCAAGCCUGAACGAGCGAUGCCGCGUGAGUGAAGAAGGCCUUCGGUCGUAAAGCUCUGUUGCGGGGGAAAAAAGGACAGCAUCAGGAAAUGGGUGCUGACUGAUGGUGCCCCGCCAGAAAGUCACGGCUAACUACGUGCC
RNAcentral lists this ribosomal RNA (163 nucleotides) under uncultured bacterium. RNAcentral's name for it is "partial 16S ribosomal RNA". It matches the Rfam family "Bacterial small subunit ribosomal RNA", at positions 355 to 509 of the family's 1533-position model. The record is from RNAcentral.